CGGGUGAGUAACGCGUGGAUAAUCUACCCAUUGGUUCGGAAUAACAGUUGGAAACGACUGAUAAUACUGGAUAAUAUGGCAACGUUAAAGGUGGCCUCUGCUUGCAAGCUACUGCCAAUGGAUGAGUCCGCGUCUCAUUAGCUAGACGGUAGGGUAACGGCCUACCGUGGCAACGAUGAGUAGCAGGCCUGAGAGGGUGGCCUGCCACACUGGGACUGGAACACGGCCCAGACUCCUACGGGAGGCAGCAGUGGGGAAUAUUGCGCAAUGGGGGAAACCCUGACGCAGCGACGCCGCGUGGAGGAUGAAGGUUUUCGGAUCGUAAACUCCUGUCAGAAGGGAAGAAACCUGCAAAAAGUAAUAUGUUUUGCAGCUGACGGUACCUUCAGAGGAAGCACCGGCUAAUUCCGUGCCAGCAGCCGCGGUAAUACGGAAGGUGCAAGCGUUAAUCGGAAUCACUGGGCGUAAAGCGCUCGUAGGUGGCUUUGUAAGUCAGGUGUGAAAGCCCACGGCUCAACCGUGGAAUUGCACUUGAUACUGCAUUGCUUGAGUUCGGGAGAGGGUAGUGGAAUUCCAGGUGUAGGAGUGAAAUCCGUAGAGAUCUGGAGGAACACCAGUGGCGAAGGCGACUACCUGGACCGAUACUGACACUGAGGAGCGAAAGCGUGGGGAGCAAACAGGAUUAGAUACCCUGGUAGUCCACGCUGUAAACGAUGGAUACUAGGUGUCGGG
Molecule: ribosomal RNA, 732 nt
Filed under: uncultured bacterium
Lineage: Bacteria
Description: bacterial SSU rRNA
Rfam family: Bacterial small subunit ribosomal RNA
Source: RNAcentral